CCCUGAUCCAGCGACGCCGCGUGUGUGAAGAAGGCCUGCGGGUUGUAAAGCACUUUUAGUGGGGAUGAAAAGCACAUUGCUAAUACCAGUGUGUCUUGACCUAACCCAAAGAAAAGGCACCGGCUAACUCUGUGCCAGCAGCCGCGGUAAUACAGAGGGUGCGAGCGUUAAUCGGAAUUACUGGGCGUAAAGCGUGCGUAGACGGUUAUUUAAGUCGGGUGUGAAAGCCCCGGGCUCAACCUGGGAAUUGCAUUCGAGACUGAAUAGCUAGGGUACGGUAGAGGGAAGUGGAAUUUCCGGUGUAGCGGUGAAAUGCGUAGAUAUCGGAAGGAACAUCAGUGGCGAAAGCGACUUCCUGGACCAGUACCGACGUUCAGGCACGAAAGCGUGGGGAGCAAACAGGAUUAGAUACCCUGGUAGUCCACGCCAUAAACGAUGAGGACUAGACGUUGGAGGGGUAAGCCUUUCAGUGUCGUAGCUAACGCGCUAAGUCCUCCGCCUGGGGAGUACGGCCGCAAGGUUG
RNAcentral lists this ribosomal RNA (523 nucleotides) under uncultured Pseudomonadota bacterium. RNAcentral describes it as "bacterial SSU rRNA". It matches the Rfam family "Bacterial small subunit ribosomal RNA", at positions 381 to 896 of the family's 1533-position model. Lineage: Bacteria; Pseudomonadati; Pseudomonadota. The record is from RNAcentral.